This 74-nucleotide transfer RNA is filed under the name Podarcis lilfordi (Lilford's wall lizard). RNAcentral's name for it is "tRNA.Lys". The stretch from base 9 to 66 matches the Rfam family "tRNA", at positions 8 to 63 of the family's 71-position model. Rfam says of the family: Transfer RNA (tRNA) molecules are approximately 80 nucleotides in length. The record is from RNAcentral. Lineage: Eukaryota; Metazoa; Chordata; Lepidosauria; Squamata; Lacertidae.
ACCUGGGAUAGCUCAGUCAGUAGAGCAUGAGACUCUUAAUCUCAGGGUUGUGGGUUCGAGCUCCACAUUGGGCA